RNAcentral lists this ribosomal RNA (792 nucleotides) under Bacillus cereus. RNAcentral describes it as "bacterial SSU rRNA". It matches the Rfam family "Bacterial small subunit ribosomal RNA", at positions 692 to 1483 of the family's 1533-position model. The record is from RNAcentral. Lineage: Bacteria; Bacillati; Bacillota; Bacilli; Caryophanales; Bacillaceae.
AGAGAUAUGGAGGAACAUCCAGUAGUGGAAGGCGGACUUUCUGGUCUGUAACUGACAAUGAGGCGCGAAAAGCGUGGGGAGCAAACAAGGAUCAGAUACCUUGGUAGUCCACGCCGUAAACGAUGAGUGCUAAGUGUUAGAGGGUUUCCGCUCCUUUAGUGCUGAAGUUAACGCAUUAAGCACUCCGCUUGGGGAGUACGGCCGCAAGGCUGAAACUCAAAGGAAUUGACGGGGGCCCGCACAAGCGGUGGAGCAUGUGGUUAAUUCGAAGCAACGCGAAGAACCUUACCAGGUCUUGACAUCCUCUUAAAACCCUAGAGAUAGGGCUUCUCCUUCGGGAGCAGAGUGACAGGUGGUGCAUGGUUGUCUUCAGCUCGUGUCGUGAGAUGUUGGGUUAAGUCCCGCAACGAGCGCAACCCUUGAUCUUAGUUGCCAUCAUUAAGUUGGGCACUUUAAGGUGACUGCCGGUGACAAACCGGAGGAAGGUGGGGAUGACGUCAAAUCAUCAUGCCCCCUAUUACCUGGGGUACACACGUGCUACAAUGGACGGUACAAAGAGCUGCAAGACCGCGAGGUGGAGCUAAUCUCAUAAAACCGUUCUCAGUUCGGAUUGUAGGCUGCAACUCGCCUACAUGAAGCUGGAAUCUCUAGUAAUCGCGGAUCAGCAUGCCGCGGUGAAUACGUUCCCGGGCCUCGUACACACCGCCCGUCACACCACGAGAGUAUGUAACACCGGGAGUCGGUGGGGUAACCUUUUUGAGCCAGCCGCCUAUUUUAGUUUCCACUGGGCAA